RNAcentral lists this ribosomal RNA (590 nucleotides) under Streptomyces cyaneogriseus. RNAcentral describes it as "bacterial SSU rRNA". It matches the Rfam family "Bacterial small subunit ribosomal RNA", at positions 67 to 674 of the family's 1533-position model. Lineage: Bacteria; Bacillati; Actinomycetota; Actinomycetes; Kitasatosporales; Streptomycetaceae. The record is from RNAcentral.
CGAUGAAGCCCUUCGGGGUGGAUUAGUGGCGAACGGGUGAGUAACACGUGGGCAAUCUGCCCUUCACUCUGGGACAAGCCCUGGAAACGGGGUCUAAUACCGGAUAAUACUGCGGAUCGCAUGGUCUGCGGUUGAAAGCUCCGGCGGUGAAGGAUGAGCCCGGGGCCUAUCAGCUUGUUGGUGGGGUGAUGGCCUACCAAGGCGACGACGGGUAGCCGGCCUGAGAGGGCGACCGGCCACACUGGGACUGAGACACGGCCCAGACUCCUACGGGAGGCAGCAGUGGGGAAUAUUGCACAAUGGGCGAAAGCCUGAUGCAGCGACGCCGCGUGAGGGAUGACGGCCUUCGGGUUGUAAACCACUUUCAGCAGGGAAGAAGCGAAAGUGACGGUACCUGCAGAAGAAGCGCCGGCUAACUACGUGCCAGCAGCCGCGGUAAUACGUAGGGCGCAAGCGUUGUCCGGAAUUAUUGGGCGUAAAGAGCUCGUAGGCGGCUUGUCACGUCGGAUGUGAAAGCCCGGGGCUUAACCCCGGGUCUGCAUUCGAUACGGGCAGGCUAGAGUGUGGUAGGGGAGAUCGGAAUUCCUGGU